GGGUCAGUAGGUUGGUCGUGCCACCGGUACGUACUGGUCUCACUGAUUCCUCCUUCCUGAAGAACCGUAAUGCCAUUAAUUUGGUGUUGCGGGGAAACAGGACUGUUACUUUGAAAAAAUUAGAGUGUUUAAAGCAAGCUGACGCUUGAAUACAUUAGCAUGGAAUAAUGAAAUAGGGCGAUCGAUCCUAUUUUGUUGGUUUCUAGGAUUGACGUA
Molecule: ribosomal RNA, 216 nt
Filed under: Glomeromycotina sp.
Lineage: Eukaryota; Fungi; Glomeromycota
Description: partial small subunit ribosomal RNA
Rfam family: Eukaryotic small subunit ribosomal RNA (bases 40-216)
Source: RNAcentral